RNAcentral lists this ribosomal RNA (482 nucleotides) under uncultured bacterium. Its description in RNAcentral is "partial 16S ribosomal RNA". It matches the Rfam family "Bacterial small subunit ribosomal RNA", at positions 30 to 507 of the family's 1533-position model. The record is from RNAcentral.
AUUGAACGCUGGCGGCAUGCCUUGCACAUGCAAGUCGAACGGUAACAGGUCUUCGGAUGCUGACGAGUGGCGAACGGGGGAGUAAUACAUAGGAACGUGCCCGAUCGUGGGGGAUAACGAAGCGAAAGCUUUGCUAAUACCGCAUACGAUCUACGGAUGAAAGCAGGGGACCGCAAGGCCUUGCGCGAACGGAGCGGCCGAUGGCAGAUUAGGUAGUUGGUGGGAUAAAAGCUUACCAAGCCGACGAUCUGUAGCUGGUCUGAGAGGACGACCAGCCACACUGGGACUGAGACACGGCCCAGACUCCUACGGGAGGCAGCAGUGGGGAAUUUUGGACAAUGGGCGAAAGCCUGAUCCAGUCAUGCCGCGUGCAGGAUGAAGGCCUUCGGGUUGUAAACUGCUUUUGUACGGAACGAAAAGACUCUGGUUAAUACCUGGGGUCCAUGACGGUACCGUAAGAAUAAGCACCGGCUAACUACGUG